AUGAGGCUAAUAAAUGCCUUUACUGGGGUCCUGGGGAGAAAUUCUGGUUUCUUUUCCCUACCCUCCUCUCAUUUAAUUCUUUUUUUUAUCUGGGUUUUUGGCAGCACCUCUGAAUCAUGGGAUAUGCUUGAGGCAACCAGGCUUUCAAAAUUCACUGGCUUUCUAAAACUCCAGCAAGAAACUUGGAGACUCAAGUUACCCAUGAAAGGUAACAAUUCCUUGUACUCCCAUAUACUUCUGUGUCACAGAAGGAAGCUCUGGGGACUUAGAAUACCAAGGAAUAUGCUCUUUAGAAGUUGAUUUUUCUGUCAGGAGGUUUUGAAGGAGGAGACUGGAGGUCUGAGAUUACCACUGGUUCAGCCCACAAUUAAGUAUGGUUAGUGUCUGGGAAGAGGAGUAUAGAAUGACAUAGAUAAGGGGGAAAAAAGGUUUAAACUUCAUCUUUUGCUUAAUUAAAUGGGAGAUUAGAAUAAUCUGAAUUUUAGGGGCAGGGGAUGAGUAUAGAAAACAUAUUAUGGGGGAGUCCAGAGAAGACUAAAGUUGAGAAUCUGCUUUCAAAUUCUGACUCUAUGCUAUUCCUAGUCUUACUUUGUUAAUCUGUAAAAGUGGGGAUAAAAUCCACCUGUCAGGAUUACCAUGAGGUUAGGUGAGAAAAUGUGGGUG
Molecule: long non-coding RNA, 663 nt
Filed under: Felis catus (domestic cat)
Lineage: Eukaryota; Metazoa; Chordata; Mammalia; Carnivora; Felidae
Description: lncRNA (ENSFCAG00000042635.2)
Source: RNAcentral